CGUGAUGGAGUCCAAGAAUAAGAGAACGCCACCUUCAAUAUCGUCGAAAAUUCCGGAGUUGAGGUAAAAUGACACGCAACUUUUGUCUCAUAGCUUUCACGUCAGCCCAUUUCAGCCACAAGAUUGGUUUUGCAACCUUAUUGACACAAAACUCACGACCCGACUUGACCAAAACUCAACAAUGUGUAGCUCCCCAAAACCUGAUAACCCGAUUAAUUUGCAACCUUAUCGACACAAAACCCAUCACCCAACGAAUCUGCCUGUCUGACAGCCGUGAGAAGUUUGUUCAACAUUUUUUGUUCAUGUUUUGCAGGCAGAACGCGAGCCCGAUGCUUGGUCCUUCUCCAUCUCGCAAGCUAGCGAACGGCAAUGGCGCUCCGGUGCACCGGAACGGCAGGC
This 399-nucleotide long non-coding RNA is filed under the name Linum usitatissimum (flax). RNAcentral's name for it is "long non-coding RNA (LUSI_LNC001436)". Lineage: Eukaryota; Viridiplantae; Streptophyta; Magnoliopsida; Malpighiales; Linaceae. The record is from RNAcentral.